RNAcentral lists this long non-coding RNA (277 nucleotides) under Gallus gallus (chicken). RNAcentral's name for it is "lncRNA (ENSGALG00010009813.1)". Lineage: Eukaryota; Metazoa; Chordata; Aves; Galliformes; Phasianidae. The record is from RNAcentral.
GUAGGGCAUUGGGACCUAUGGGGUGCAGUGCAGCCCUAUGGGGUGGGAGGUGGCCGCUAGGGGGCGCUGUGGGGCAUUUGGAUCUAUGGGGUGGAGGACUGCCGCUAGGGGGCGCUGUGGGGCAUUGGGAUCUAUGGGGUGGAGGACUGCCGCUAGGGGGCGCUGUGGGGCAUUGGGAUCUAUGGGGUGGAGGACUGCCGCUAGGGGGCGCUGUGGGGCAGUGGGACCUAUGGGGUACAGUGCAGCCCUACGGCAUGCAGGGUGAGAAGGGGGGCCG